Molecule: long non-coding RNA, 897 nt
Filed under: Gallus gallus (chicken)
Lineage: Eukaryota; Metazoa; Chordata; Aves; Galliformes; Phasianidae
Description: long non-coding RNA NONGGAT006646
Source: RNAcentral
GUUGAACCCCCUAAAAGUACCCCUUGAGUAGCUUUAUUUCUGCUGUGUGAUUUAAGUGCAGUCCCAGCAAGUGUGGUAGGUCAGAUCUCACCUCAUCCUGCAGUCUUGCCUAUCCACAAGAUGUAACUGAAAUAGAACAAAGUGAGACACUCAGCACCUUCAGUGCUCACGGCUUCCAAAAGCUCUGCCAAAGCCCCAGCUACUUAUUCAAACAGUCCACGUGUUCUUUGUAUUUGGACAGUGCUUCACACCUUAUUGCAAAGGCAGUGUGUUUACAGGAAAAGAUUUCAAGCUGGCCAAUGUUGCUUUAGCAGAUCCAGAGAAUAUGAUUGCGAGGGUUGGGGAGAGAGAUCAAAGCAAAGCAAGCAGAAUGCGGUACAACAGAGGCAAGGCAGCAAUGCAGGACGUGUGGCUGCAGGUAAUGCGGGCACCCCAAAGUGGGCAGAAGGAGAAAUGAAGGCAAACCCCUCAGUAAGUCCAAUCCUGCACGGAUGUACCAGAGCUGUGCUGGGGGAACUGCAGGGAAAGUUCUGCUCCAGGUGGGACCUGGGGAGUCAAUCUGUGCUGAGGGAAUAAAGUGCUUUUCUCGGAUGUACUCCUCUGCAUCUUCUGUUUCUCUUUAAGACGACCCCGAGAUGUGCGACGUUCCCUUUCAGAGAGAUAAAGCACUCCACCUGAAGCAAACUCCAGAUGUGGCUGCAGCAUCAUUUUGGGUAUUGACUUCAUUCUAUCGCUUUGCAACUGCAGCAGCACUCCUUCUUAAGGCUUUCAGGUAUCCCAGGGUUUUCAGAAAGCAGUUACAUGUUGUUAAUGUCAGACAUCUCCCCAUCCAUCCACUCACUUGGAGCAGUUUGUUUGGAGAACCAAUUUUCUGUUCCACAACGAUGCAUCCCUUGC